Non-coding RNA from Plicaturopsis crispa FD-325 SS-3, 101 nucleotides. The record is from the annotation of a GenBank genome assembly. NCBI's taxonomy places the organism in Eukaryota, Fungi, Basidiomycota, Agaricomycetes, Amylocorticiales, Amylocorticiaceae.
GGUUGUGUAGUGUAAUGGUUAUCACCCCAGAUUCUGAUGAGACGCGCCGACCGGUGCAAUCAGGUCUUCUGGUGAUCCAGGUUCGAUCCCUGGCACGACCU